RNAcentral lists this ribosomal RNA (386 nucleotides) under uncultured bacterium. Its description in RNAcentral is "bacterial SSU rRNA". It matches the Rfam family "Bacterial small subunit ribosomal RNA", at positions 30 to 416 of the family's 1533-position model. The record is from RNAcentral.
AUUGAACGCUGGCGGCAUGCCUUACACAUGCAAGUCGAACGGUAACGGGCCUUCGGGUGCCGACGAGUGGCGAACGGGUGAGUAAUGCAUCGGAACGUACCUUUUCAGUGGGGGGAUAACGUAGCGAAAGUUACGCUAAUACCGCAUAUUCUGUGAGCAGGAAAGCAGGGGAUCGCAAGACCUUGCGCUGAUUGAGCGGCCGAUGUCAGAUUAGCUAGUUGGUGAGGUAAAGGCUCACCAAGGCGACGAUCUGUAGCGGGUCUGAGAGGAUGAUCCGCCACACUGGAACUGAGACACGGUCCAGACUCCUACGGGAGGCAGCAGUGGGGAAUUUUGGACAAUGGGGGCAACCCUGAUCCAGCCAUGCCGCGUGAGUGAAGAAGGCC